This 23-nucleotide non-coding RNA is filed under the name Arabidopsis thaliana (thale cress). The record is from RNAcentral. Lineage: Eukaryota; Viridiplantae; Streptophyta; Magnoliopsida; Brassicales; Brassicaceae.
CGCGAGUACGGUGGAAGUGUGUG